Manis javanica (Malayan pangolin) is the source of this 1263-nucleotide non-coding RNA. The record is from RefSeq and is a predicted model, not a curated record. NCBI's taxonomy places the organism in Eukaryota, Metazoa, Chordata, Mammalia, Pholidota, Manidae.
GGUGAGCAACAGUGACUGGAGCAGAGAACGGCUAUGGCGCAUGCAGCCAGUGGUGUCAGCCUCACUGAGAUGAAGGCCUUGGACCCAUCAAACGCUGACUCCACCUACCGGAUGGUCGGAGAGUAAGGCAGCUGUGGGAUUUGUGGUCAGAGAACAGAUGUGGAGAAACAUAAAGUCAACAAACAAUAGGAGAAUGAGCAUCUUAAGGCAUAAAAGUAAAAACCAGAAGAACUGAGAAAAACAGCAAAAUUAACCGAACUUGGGCACAUAGGGGAAGGAGAGGAGAUGAGAGGAACUGGAAAUAUCCCAAUUUUGUCAUUGCCGAUAGUGAAAAAUGAGCAAGCAAUAAUGCAAAGAAAACACAGACCAUCUUGUGAAACAGAAUUUCAGAAGGAGCCAUAAAAACAAAGCACGACAUUAAAAUGCUGAUCAAAGGCAGGUCAAAUAUAUCUGCCAAAGGAAUUGAUUUAAAUGUGCUUAUUUUACAUAUUUUUUAAAAAAGGCAAUUAUCACACGGCUCACACAGUAACACCCAACUAUGUUUUGGAACUACAAGGGACAUGUUAAAACAAACUGACUCAGGAAGCUUGGAAAUGAAAAGCCAGGCCAGGGCUUUGCAAACACAUGGAAAAGAAACGGAAGCAUGGCCUCAAAACAGGUCGGAAGCUCCCUCAGUCUACCAUUUUUUGUUCCAUGAAGUCAGCGAAUUAAAAUAUCCUACAUAGUUCUUUCAUGAGAUAUUCGUUUUCCACUCUAUCAUUUGUCAAACUUGCUUUGGAAGAGAGCUGAGCACAGGGCAUCUAAAUUGAGGAUCCUGGUCUUCCCAUGAUUUCCCCGUUAUGCGUGUUGAGUGAUCCCUGUCCAGCAGGGGGCACACUUGGACUUUGAUUGCCAACCUGCCUCCCGUUGAACAAGACGCAGUGUUGAGAAACCUCUGGCUAACCUCUGGCUAGAGAGAGUUCUGUUUCAUGGGUCAGUGCAUCUAUUUUCCCAGGAAAUACAAAAUCAAGUCUCUACAAUAGAAGGGCAAGUAUAGAAACUGAGUGUUGCAGACCUAGAGUAAGAAAAACAAUAGGGCCAGUACAAUGACAAAAUAGAGCCGGCAGUUCCCGCUCAGCCCCAGCUGACUGCUGUCAUGUGGGAAGGCCAGAUCUGCAAGUUUUUCAAGAGUUAGACAUUUAGGUCAUUGUGAGCUAUCUCCACAUGUUGACUUGUAACCAAUGAAUUAAAAAUGUGUUAAAAACCUGAAUGUAAAGUAAAUAC